GCGGUAGGCCUAACACAUGCAAGUCGAGCGCAGGGGCAGACGGGUGAGUAACGCGUGGGAAUCUACCAUUUGCUACGGAACAACAGUUGGAAACGACUGCUAAUACCGUAUGGCAAAUGAUGAGCCCGCGUUGGAUUAGCUAGUUGGUGGGGUAAAGGCCUACCAAGGCGACGAUCCAUAGCUGGUCUGAGAGGAUGAUCAGCCACACUGGGACUGAGACACGGCCCAGACUCCUACGGGAGGCAGCAGUGGGGAAUAUUGGACAAUGGGCGCAAGCCUGAUCCAGCCAUGCCGCGUGAGUGAUGAAGGCCCUAGGGUUGUAAAGCUCUUUCACCGGUGAAGCGGUAACCGGAGAAGAAGCCCCGGCUAACUUCGUGCCAGCAGCCGCGGUAAUACGAAGGGGGCUAGCGUUGUUCGGAUUUACUGGGCGUAAAGCGCACGUAGGCGGACUAAUAAGUCAGGGGUGAAAUCCCGGGGCUCAACCCCGGAACUGCCUUUGAUACUGUUAGUCUUGAGUAUGGAAGAGGUGAGUGGAAUUCCGAGUGUAGAGGUGAAAUUCGUAGAUAUUCGGAGGAACACCAGUGGCG
This 587-nucleotide ribosomal RNA is filed under the name uncultured bacterium. Its description in RNAcentral is "bacterial SSU rRNA". It matches the Rfam family "Bacterial small subunit ribosomal RNA", at positions 39 to 717 of the family's 1533-position model. The record is from RNAcentral.